Molecule: transfer RNA, 69 nt
Filed under: Ictidomys tridecemlineatus (thirteen-lined ground squirrel)
Lineage: Eukaryota; Metazoa; Chordata; Mammalia; Rodentia; Sciuridae
Description: Spermophilus tridecemlineatus (thirteen-lined ground squirrel) tRNA
Rfam family: tRNA
About the family: Transfer RNA (tRNA) molecules are approximately 80 nucleotides in length. Their secondary structure includes four short double-helical elements and three loops (D, anti-codon, and T loops).
Source: Rfam by way of RNAcentral
GGGGUUGUGGCUCAGUGGUAGAGCGCUUGCCUAGUGGGUGCAAGACCCUGGGUUCGAUCCUCAGCACCA